Molecule: long non-coding RNA, 1658 nt
Organism: Cyprinus carpio (common carp)
Lineage: Eukaryota; Metazoa; Chordata; Actinopteri; Cypriniformes; Cyprinidae
Source: Ensembl
UUCCUCACUUUAAGGGAUAGUUCAACCAAAAAUGAAAAUUCUGUCAUCGUUGACUCAGCCUCGUGUCAUUCCAAACUUCUAUGACUUUAAUUCUUUUGAGAAACGUAAAUGAAGAUAUUUUGAAGUUGUUGUUUUUUCCCCAAUACAAUUAAUGUCAAUGGAGACCAAACAGAUCUGUUAUUUACUAAAGCUAAUUAAAUAUUAUAUAAGCUGAAAUAAAUAAAAUGUAAAUUCUAGAUGCAAAAUAAUAAAGAUAGACAUGCCUUGGCAACUAAAUGAAAUAAAAUAAGCUGAAGUAGUAAAAUUACUAAAACUUAUAUUGUCAUUAUAUUUAAUAACUAAUUUGCCUUCAUUUUGUGUGUCUGUUUUUGUGUGUGUGUUUGUUUAAAGGUUGAGAAUGUGCUUUUUUGUUGCUUGUUUGCAAAUAAGAAAACCCAAUAGAGUAUAAAUCAUGAAAGAUAACUAAAACGUAAAAAAAAAUUAAAAAAUAAAAUGUAAUAUGAUAAUACUAAUACUAAUAAAAAUUUACAUGGCAAAAUUAUUAAAACUAAAAUUUAAAUGAAAACUGAAAAUAAAAAAAAUAUAAGCUUAUUAAAAAUAUUAAUAAAUACUGUAAAUAAUAUAUAAAUAAUACUAAAACAACACUGGGACCAAAACAGCAUUGAUUGACAAAAAUACUUUUUUAUUUUUCUAAAUAUCUUUUGUUUUCCACAUGCAGAAGAAAGAAAAUCAUACUUGUUUGUAAUGACAUGAGGGUGAGUAAAUGAGUCAACUUUUCUUUUAAGAUGUCCUGUCAGCAUAGAGGUAAAACUAUAGAACUCACUUAAGUAUAACAAAGUAGCUACAAAAUGAAAGUAGAAUGUUAACAUGUAGGUUAUGUUCUAGAACACUCGUUGCCAUUCAGGUCCUGUUUUGAGCGGCUGGGAGGUUUGCGGCAGCAGAUGGGCUGUCCCGCUGUGUGCCUGAUUGAAACACAGAAGCUGGAGCCGACUCAUAACAACAUCACCAGCUUCUGUCAGCUCCAGCCAGGGAACAAAUCAGCCUUCCUGCGGCUCUGCUGCAGGGAACAUGACUCUGCUCAGAGGAAAAAAUGAUAGUCAUGAAAACCAAAGCUGGAGUUGCAGAUGGCAGGUGUAUGUGGAGAGCAUCUGCAGACUGCACUGCGAAUAUUGAAGAACUGAUUAUAUAAGCUGGCUCAAAUAGACUGGUCACUACUGAUCACGUGUUUGAAGUUAAAAACUCAGGUUAAUGAGGUCACACUUGGAUCACAGUUUUAUAUAGUAAAACUGAUUACGUGGUUUAUGUAAUCAGAUUCCAAAAUUGAGUACUCGUAAUUGACCCUUCACAAAAACCCACCCUCCUUAGUUACUGUUGCUAUGUCCGACAAGCCAAGCUGCUCACACCACACAUCAUGUUCCCACGCAGUGAAAAAUACAUUGUAAAGCAAAGAGGAAACUGACAACAUGCCCACAGACAAGACAAAGCAGGUUACUUCUCACAUGAAACAAGGUCUCAGCUUUUGAAUUUUGACAUUUUUUAAAGAAAUUCAAACAAUAAGUAACGUUUUGUGGCUCUUUAAUGUGUUGUGACAGAUCACUGUUGCGCCUCAGUUCAAAGCAUGAAAUAAACAUGAAUGAACAUCAAAAUGUAUUUUAUUU